AGUUACUGUAGAAUUAAUGUUGCAUAUUGUUUACACGGAUUUUAGGUACGCUUGGUAUAUCUGGCUUGGCGGAGCUUGGUGAACGUCGUGUGCACCCUAGUGCCAUACACCGGGGUGUGUUUAAUUGACCGGGAAUAAAACGUUCUCACCCCGUAA
This is a long non-coding RNA of Haliotis rufescens (red abalone), 156 nucleotides long. RefSeq lists it as uncharacterized. Lineage: Eukaryota; Metazoa; Mollusca; Gastropoda; Lepetellida; Haliotidae. The transcript is spliced from 2 exons. The record is from RefSeq and is a predicted model, not a curated record.